Molecule: non-coding RNA, 852 nt
Organism: Podarcis lilfordi (Lilford's wall lizard)
Lineage: Eukaryota; Metazoa; Chordata; Lepidosauria; Squamata; Lacertidae
Source: the annotation of a GenBank genome assembly
ACUUCAAGCAACUAAGUCCCUUUGCUCAAGCGAGCAAAUGAGACUUUUCAUUCCACUGAAGUUUAAGCUGAAAAUAUUAUUGGCAUUCUCAGCAGUUGGCUGAGCUGACGUGAUGGAAGACAACACCGCAAAUGCUCAGAGGACCAAGAACUCGGCAAGGAAAGCUUCACCAUCCAGGUUAUUUAUUUAUUUUAAAGAAAGGGAUAGCUAUCUGUCUGCCUGGACUUAAAACCUCAUAUAGGGUUUACUGAAAGGAAAUCUAUGUGGGAUGGGCUGCAUUGAUGGGGAUAAGGCCUUAGAGCAUAAGAAGCCUAAGUGGCCAAGAGCCCAGAGCCACAUAGCGGAAGGAAGUUGGGGGAUAUAUAUAAGAGCAUCAGGGGAGGGAAGCAUAGUUGAGAAAAGCAUAGUGGGAGGCAAGGGGUCAUAGGGCUGCCAGGUGUAGGUCCUGGGUGGACUCUGGUGCUUUAGGAAUUGAAUAAAAGGGGGGAUUCUACCACUAUUGUUGCUUCCACAUCCUUGCAACGUUUGGUUUGGUAACAGUAAGGCGGUAGCAAUGGCAAAGCCACAAUAGACUGAGAUACUGAAUUUCACAGUUUUCACAUCACAUUGGGAAAUAAUAUUUGCCGUCUUUGAGGGACAAGAGCACAUCACAUCUGCUAAGAUUUUUUAUUUUAAUGCAGAGGGAUGUCUGGAUCGCAGGAAACCCGACUGACUUCUAUUUUACUAUGAUAUUGAUUAUAAAUCGUUUUCUUGCCUGCUGAAGAGAUUGUGUCUCUUCCCACAGGAGCAGCUUGCAGCAAGAAAUACAGGAAGAAAGUGGAUGAUGCGCUGUGUCUUUAACACUUGUAUGGU